This 45-nucleotide non-coding RNA is filed under the name Schistosoma curassoni. The record is from RNAcentral. Lineage: Eukaryota; Metazoa; Platyhelminthes; Trematoda; Strigeidida; Schistosomatidae.
AUUCAGCUGACAAGUCUCAAAUAGGACGAAACGCGUGUCCUGCAU